Molecule: non-coding RNA, 125 nt
Filed under: Candidatus Gottesmaniibacteriota
Lineage: Bacteria
Description: Candidatus Gottesmanbacteria FMN sequence
Rfam family: FMN riboswitch aptamer (RFN element)
About the family: The RFN element is a highly conserved domain that is found frequently in the 5'-untranslated regions of prokaryotic mRNAs that encode for flavin mononucleotide (FMN) biosynthesis and transport proteins. This element is a metabolite-dependent riboswitch that directly binds FMN in the absence of proteins.
Source: RNAcentral
UCAUUCCUUCGGGGAAUUUGUGUAAGUCAUAAUCGGUGGUACAGCCCACGAGUUCCGAUCAAAUUGGGACAUGAUCUGGUUAAAUUCCAGGGCCGACCGUAAAGUCGGGAUAAAAGAAGGAAAGU